Molecule: non-coding RNA, 73 nt
Organism: Turdus rufiventris (rufous-bellied thrush)
Lineage: Eukaryota; Metazoa; Chordata; Aves; Passeriformes; Turdidae
Source: the annotation of a GenBank genome assembly
GGGGACGUGGGAUGGAUCCGUGCUGGGUCCAAACCCCAGCAGCACUCCAGGGUGCUGAGCCCCUCUGGCUUCU